ACUCAAAUGAAUUGACGGGGGAGCGCACAACCGGUGGAGCAUGUGGUUUAAUUCGAUACAAAGCGUAAGACCUCACCCAGGUUUGACAUAUAUCUGCAAAUCCUAGGAAACUAGGACUUCUUCGAGAGUGAUAUACAGCUGUUGCAUGGCUGUCGUCAGUUCGUGUCGUGAGACGUUUCUUUAAGUAGAAUAACGAACGCAACCCCUAUCGUGUGUUGAAUAUUCACGCGAGACUGCUCUUGAUAGUAUCAAGGGAGGAAGGAGGGGACGACGUCAAGUCAGCAUGACGCUUACACCUGGGGCCACACACAUCCUACAAUGGGAAGUACAAUGGGUUGCCAACCAGUAAUGGGGAGCCAAUCCCGUAAAACUUCCCUCAGUUCAGAUUGAGGGCUGCAACUCGCCCUCAUGAAGUCGGAAUCGGUAGUAAUCGCGGAUCAGCAGGCCGCGGUGAAUACGUUCUCGCUCCUUGUACACACCGCCCGU
RNAcentral lists this ribosomal RNA (486 nucleotides) under uncultured bacterium. RNAcentral's name for it is "partial 16S ribosomal RNA". It matches the Rfam family "Bacterial small subunit ribosomal RNA", at positions 899 to 1397 of the family's 1533-position model. The record is from RNAcentral.